CAUAUUUUAGAGCUCAAAUCAUAAUACUUAAGAUAAUAUUAUUACUUUCAAAUCCACCUUUAAACUAAAGCUCUCAUUUAAUUAUUCGUAUAAAUAUAUUUAUUGUAACCCAUCUCUUCUUAUAUAUAAACUGUGCCUUGAUCUGAUUUAUUAUAUAAUAAUAAAUUAAGAAUAUUAUAAUUCUUUUAAAAUACUCAACUACGACGAUAUACAAAUUAAUAAAAUAAGUACAUUAAAUCGUGGGUUAUCGAUUAUAGGACAGGUUCCUCUGAAAAGACUAAAAUACCGCCAAAUUUUUUAAUUUUUAAGAUCAUAACUAAUACUAAUUUAAUUUAACCAUUUACAUUUAU
Molecule: ribosomal RNA, 350 nt
Filed under: Horelophus walkeri
Lineage: Eukaryota; Metazoa; Arthropoda; Insecta; Coleoptera; Hydrophilidae
Description: partial 12S ribosomal RNA
Source: RNAcentral